GCCUUGGUGGAACAACUGGCAGAUCGUCCUAGUCUUAUAUUUCAAGUUGUUCCGCGUAAUCCGUGCGAAGGCGGAGGUUCGAAUCCUCCCCAAGGCA
Molecule: non-coding RNA, 97 nt
Organism: Mycena rebaudengoi
Lineage: Eukaryota; Fungi; Basidiomycota; Agaricomycetes; Agaricales; Mycenaceae
Source: the annotation of a GenBank genome assembly